Small nucleolar RNA from Artibeus jamaicensis (Jamaican fruit-eating bat), 133 nucleotides. The record is from RefSeq and is a predicted model, not a curated record. NCBI's taxonomy places the organism in Eukaryota, Metazoa, Chordata, Mammalia, Chiroptera, Phyllostomidae.
GUGCAAACUCGAUGACUAACUCUGCAUGACGUUGCGAAAGUGAAGGGAACCAGGUUCGCUUAAGUAAUUGUGGUGACAGAAAUGUAUUGGUCUCAGAAGCUACUGAGGUGGACCAUUCUAUCCUAGGACAGUG